Long non-coding RNA from Choloepus didactylus (southern two-toed sloth), 715 nucleotides. RefSeq lists it as uncharacterized. Lineage: Eukaryota; Metazoa; Chordata; Mammalia; Pilosa; Megalonychidae. The transcript is spliced from 3 exons. The record is from RefSeq and is a predicted model, not a curated record.
CAUGAAGAGCCACAUUUGAUAUAUUAUCUCAACACAGAGUGCUUCAUUAACUAGGUGCUUCAAGUUUCAAGCCACUGGCAAACUCAACUUAUAAUCUUGAUGGCUAGAUAAGAUUUUGCACCCAGUAAUUUUUUAACAAGAGAUGCUACUCCCUUAGUCUCCAUUUGAGAAGCGGUGAUUCCAACUGGUUUAUAUGUUGCUACUAAUGCAAUCAAUUAAAGACAACAUCAUGCAUUUAAAAUUUUGGCUUUCUAGAAGAGAGACAUCUAUGGGACCAUGGAGAAAUAACAGAGAAGAGAAAAAAAAAAAACAAACAAACAAUAAAGAACUUACAAUUGGAUACACAAUACCUCCAAUAGAAGGGAGAAGAAAGUUCUCUCAGAGAUCAGAACCAGAAACCAUGGAGGAUUAUUAUGAGCAAAUCCCAAAGAGGUAAACUGGGUUCUGCUACAUUCCAGGCUAAUCAAGGAACUCAUUCUACUGCCAAAGAAGAUAGUCUUCAAUCCUGUCCAGCAGGAUAUGGUAUUGUGUUAUGGACCAGUAACCACUGUGUAGUUUCCAUUUUUCCAUUCUCUCCAUUGCUCAGUAGAAGUUCUUAUUGCAGUUACCAUGUUGCUUUUUAUCAUCCUCCUUGUUCACCUCUGAUCUUUUUCUUCUUAAUAGAACAUUGAUUUUGUUCAGCAAUGUAUCCUCCUCUGUACAUCCUCAUGCAUCA